UACGUAGGGAGCGAGCGUUGUCCGAAUUUACUGGGCGUAAAGCGCGCGUAGGCGGAUUAUUAGGUCGGUGGUGAAAUCCCGAGGCUCAACCUCGGAACUGCCGUCGAAACCGAUAGUCUGGAGGUAUGGAGAGGAAAUCGGAAUUCCGGGUGUAGCGGUGAAAUGCGUAGAUAUCCGGAGGAAUACCGAUGGCGAAGGCAGAUUUCUGGCCAUAUCCUGACGCUGAGGUGCGAAAGCUAAGGUAG
This 245-nucleotide ribosomal RNA is filed under the name uncultured bacterium. RNAcentral describes it as "partial 16S ribosomal RNA". It matches the Rfam family "Bacterial small subunit ribosomal RNA", at positions 524 to 768 of the family's 1533-position model. The record is from RNAcentral.